RNAcentral lists this long non-coding RNA (1513 nucleotides) under Zonotrichia albicollis (white-throated sparrow). Its description in RNAcentral is "lncRNA (ENSZALG00000004212.1)". Lineage: Eukaryota; Metazoa; Chordata; Aves; Passeriformes; Passerellidae. The record is from RNAcentral.
CCCUUCCCCACUUUGGGAAGUGGGAUUUGUUAUCAAACACCAUCUUUACAUGGGCACACCACCCCAAACCCGAGCUCUCCUUGCUCUCCUCCCAUUUUGGGGUGUCCAAACCCAGCAGGAUCUCAUUCUCAUUGUGGAACAUCCCCACAAACACCACAAACCCCAGAAACCCCAAACCCCCACGUUGGGAAGUGGAGUUUGUCAUCAAACACCAUCUUUACAUGGGCACACCUCCCCAAACCCGAGCUCUCCUUGCUCUCCUUCCAUUUUGGGGUGCCCAAACCCAGCAGGAUCUCAUUCUCAUUGUGGAGCAUCCCCACAAACCCCAAAACUCCCAUGGCUGCCCAGUGUCACCCCAGGGUUUUCCAUCAGCUCGUUCUCAUUGUGGAGCAUCCCCACAAACCCUUGCCCACUUUGGGAAGUGGGGUUUGUUAUUAAACACCCUCUUUACAUGGGCACACCACCCCAAACCCCAGCUCUCCUUGCUCUCUCCCAUUUUGGGGCACCCAAACCCAGCAGGAUCUCAUUCUUCAGCAUGGAGCAUCCCCACAAACCCUUCCCCACUUUGGGAAGUGGGAUUUGUUAUCAAACACCAUCUUUACAUGGGCACACCACCCCAAACCCCAGCUCUCCUUGCUCUCUCCCAUUUUGGGGCACCCAAGCCUAUCAGGAUCUCAUUCUCCAGCAUGGACCAUCCCCACAAACCCCACAAACCCUUCCCUGCUCUCCUUCCAUUUUGGGGUGUCCAAACCCAGCAGGAUCUCCUUCUCAUUAUGGAGCAUCCCCACACACCCCACAAACCCCACAGACUCCACAAACCCCAAACCCCCACAAACCCUUCCCUGCUCUCCUUCCAUUUUGGGGUGCCCAAACCCAGCAGGAUCUCAUUCUCAUUGUGGAGCAUCCCCACAAACCCCAAACCCCCACAAACACCACAAACCCCACAGACCCCACAACCCCCACAUCCCCACACACCCCACAAACCCCACAAACCCCAAACCCCCGAGGUUGCCCAGUGUCACCCCGGGUUUUUCCAUCCUCUCCAUCCCGCCCGAAGUGCACUCGCAGCGGUUUUCCCGCCGGGGAUUUUCAGCAUUAUCGAUCCCUGCGGGCCAUGGGCUGCCGUUGACCCUGGCACCGGGGCUGCCCCGCCUUUGUCGCCGCUGCUGUCGCGCUCAGCAGAUGGCUUUUGUUCCUGACCAGCGCUGCUCAUCCCAUUGUGCGGGGUUGGCGGGUGUGCCCCAUCCCGGCCUGCCCUGCCACACUGCCCCUCCUUCCCCGGCCUGGCAACACCACAAGGAGCUGCUUUGCUUUGCUUUUUAAUUUUUUUCCUUUUUUUUCCUUUUUUUUUUUAUUCCUCCUCCUUCUCCCCAGGGGUCUGUCUGGAUUAUUUCUGAAGCUGCUUUCUUUCUUCUGUGAAAGUAAGCCAGGGAAAAUAGAUUUAAUUUUAUUUUUUGGGGUAGCUUUUCUUGGGCGACACCUGGGUCCCACCUUGGCUAAAUCAGCAUCAAUC